GAUGAAGAACGUAGCGAAAUGCGAUAAGUAGUGUGAAUUGCAGAAUUCAGUGAAUCAUCGAAUCUUUGAACGCACAUUGCGCCCCUUGGUAUUCCAUGGGGCAUGCCUGUUCGAGCGUCAUUUGUACUCUCAAGCCUUGCUUGGUGUUGGGUGAUUGUCUUUGCUAUGCCUAGACUCGCCUUAAAUUUAUUGGCAGCCGAUAUGUUGGUUUGAAGCGCAGCACAAUUUGCGGUUUGAGCUUACUAUGUUAGCAACCAUGAAGCCCUUUUUAACACUUUUGACCUCGGAUCAGGUAGGGAUACCCGCUGAACUUAAGCAUAUCAAUAAGCGGGAGGA
This 336-nucleotide unclassified non-coding RNA is filed under the name soil metagenome. RNAcentral describes it as "partial contains 5.8S ribosomal RNA, internal transcribed spacer 2, and large subunit ribosomal RNA". The stretch from base 1 to 120 matches the Rfam family "5.8S ribosomal RNA", at positions 35 to 154 of the family's 154-position model. The record is from RNAcentral.